AUGUAAAUGAAUCACUGAAGGAUCGUCUUAGGGCAGGUACACGAAGCAGCAAAUCAUACUUCAGACUUUGAUCAGAAACUGCUAUUGACUCUCCUUCAAGUCACAACGAGAGUAUUCUGGUCUUUAAAGAAGAGUCACACGUUUCCCUGUCAGCUCAGCCAAGAGUGGACACACAGGACAGGUCAUGAUGGCAGUGCCACAGUGGCCUGUUGUGGUCGUUGUGCUGCUCCUUGCCUGCGCUGGACUCCAUUGCUCCUCUUCCCCAUCUGUGUGUCCAGAGUCCUGCACCUGUCAGAAAGCUCCUCUGUUGAACUGUUCGUCCUCCGGCCUCUCCUCAGUGCCUCAGUAUAUCCAAGACUCUGUCACUGAGCUGGACUUUUCUCACAAUCGCCUGUAUUCUGUAACACUCCACCGGCCACAUCGUAACCUCAGGAAUGUAUGGCUGGGAAACAACACUAUCACACACUUGUCUCUUUGCAUAGACACGAAUCUGGGAAAGCAGUCUGACAGAGACAGACAUCCAAAUCACUUGAGACUUUGGCAUAGACGCAGAUGUGUAUCUUGGGCCCCCACCCUGCAGCUGCUAUCUGUUGAGAGGAAUCAGCUGGUGCAACUCCCGGAGGGGCUGGAAGGUAGUCCAUCCUUAUGGAUUCUGCAGCUCUCCUACAACAGGAUCUCAGCUCUUGAACCAAGAGCCCUUAGCCGACUUCAAC
Molecule: long non-coding RNA, 713 nt
Organism: Solea solea (common sole)
Lineage: Eukaryota; Metazoa; Chordata; Actinopteri; Pleuronectiformes; Soleidae
Exons: 3
Source: RefSeq, a predicted model, not a curated record